RNAcentral lists this ribosomal RNA (253 nucleotides) under uncultured bacterium. Its description in RNAcentral is "partial 16S ribosomal RNA". It matches the Rfam family "Bacterial small subunit ribosomal RNA", at positions 524 to 776 of the family's 1533-position model. The record is from RNAcentral.
UACAGAGGUCUCAAGCGUUGUUCGGAUUCAUUGGGCGUAAAGGGUGCGUAGGUGGCGGGGUAAGUCAGGUGUGAAAUUUCGGAGCUUAACUCCGAAACUGCAUUCGAUACUGCCGUGCUUGAGGACUGGAGAGGAGACUGGAAUUUACGGUGUAGCGGUGAAAUGCGUAGAUAUCGUAAGGAAGACCAGUGGCGAAGGCGGCUCACUGGCCCGAUACUGACGCUGAGGCACGAAAGCGUGGGGAGCGAACAGG